GGGUUGUGAGGUUAAGCGACUAAGCGUACACGGUGGAUGCCCUGGCAGUCAGAGGCGAUGAAGGACGUGCUAAUCUGCGAAAAGCGUCGGUAAGGUGAUAUGAACCGUUAUAACCGGCGAUGUCCGAAUGGGGAAACCCAGUGCAAUUCGUUGCACUAUCGUUAACUGAAUACAUAGGUUAACGAGGCGAACCGGGGGAACUGAAACAUCUAAGUACCCCGAGGAAAAGAAAUCAACCGAGAUUCCCCCAGUAGCGGCGAGCGAACGGGGAGCAGCCCAGAGUCUGAAUCAGCUUGUGUGUUAGUGGAACGGUCUGGAAAGUCCGACGGUACAGGGUGAUAGUCCCGUACACCAAAAUGCACAGGCUGUGAACUCGAAGAGUAGGGCGGGACACGUGGUAUCCUGUCUGAAUAUGGGGGGACCAUCCUCCAAGGCUAAAUACUCCUGACUGACCGAUAGUGAACCAGUACCGUGAGGGAAAGGCGAAAAGAACCCCGGCGAGGGGAGUGAAAAAGAACCUGAAACCGUGUACGUACAAGCAGUGGGAGCACCUUCGGGUGUGACUGCGUACCUUUUGUAUAAUGGGUCAGCGACUUAUAUUCUGUAGCAAGGUUAACCGUAUAGGGGAGCCGCAGGGAAACCGAGUCUUAACUGGGCGUUAAGUUGCAGGGUAUAGACCCGAAACCCGGUGAUCUAGCCAUGGGCAGGUUGAAGGUUGGGUAACACUAACUGGAGGACCGAACCGACUAAUGUUGAAAAAUUAGCGGAUGACUUGUGGCUGGGGGUGAAAGGCCAAUCAAACCGGGAGAUAGCUGGUUCUCCCCGAAAGCUAUUUAGGUAGCGCCUCGUGAACUCAUCUUCGGGGGUAGAGCACUGUUUCGGCUAGGGGGUCAUCCCGACUUACCAACCCGAUGCAAACUACGAAUACCGAAGAAUGUUAUCACGGGAGACACACGGCGGGUGCUAACGUCCGUCGUGAAGAGGGAAACAACCCAGACCGCCAGCUAAGGUCCCAAAGUCAUGGUUAAGUGGGAAACGAUGUGGGAAGGCACAGACAGCCAGGAUGUUGGCUUAGAAGCAGCCAUCAUUUAAAGAAAGCGUAAUAGCUCACUGGUCGAGUCGGCCUGCGCGGAAGAUGUAACGGGGCUAAACCAUGCACCGAAGCUGCGGCAGCGACACUAUGUGUUGUUGGGUAGGGGAGCGUUCUGUAAGCCUGCGAAGGUGACCUGUGAGGGUUGCUGGAGGUAUCAGAAGUGCGAAUGCUGACAUAAGUAACGAUAAAGCGGGUGAAAAGCCCGCUCGCCGGAAGACCAAGGGUUCCUGUCCAACGUUAAUCGGGGCAGGGUGAGUCGACCCCUAAGGCGAGGCCGAAAGGCGUAGUCGAUGGGAAACAGGUUAAUAUUCCUGUACUUGGUGUUACUGCGAAGGGGGGACGGAGAAGGCUAUGUUAGCCGGGCGACGGUUGUCCCGGUUUAAGCAUGUAGGCUGAUUGUCCAGGCAAAUCCGGAUAAUCAAGGCUGAGGUGUGAUGACGAGGCACUACGGUGCUGAAGUAACAAAUGCCCUGCUUCCAGGAAAAGCCUCUAAGCAUCAGGUAACAUUAAAUCGUACCCCAAACCGACACAGGUGGUCAGGUAGAGAAUACCAAGGCGCUUGAGAGAACUCGGGUGAAGGAACUAGGCAAAAUGGUGCCGUAACUUCGGGAGAAGGCACGCUGGUGUGUAGGUGAAGCCCCCGCGGGUGGAGCUGAGACCAGUCGAAGAUACCAGCUGGCUGCAACUGUUUAUUAAAAACACAGCACUGUGCAAACACGAAAGUGGACGUAUACGGUGUGACGCCUGCCCGGUGCCGGAAGGUUAAUUGAUGGGGUUAUCCGUAAGGAGAAGCUCUUGAUCGAAGCCCCGGUAAACGGCGGCCGUAACUAUAACGGUCCUAAGGUAGCGAAAUUCCUUGUCGGGUAAGUUCCGACCUGCACGAAUGGCGUAAUGAUGGCCAGGCUGUCUCCACCCGAGACUCAGUGAAAUUGAACUCGCUGUGAAGAUGCAGUGUACCCGCGGCAAGACGGAAAGACCCCGUGAACCUUUACUAUAGCUUGACACUGAACAUUGAGCCUUGAUGUGUAGGAUAGGUGGGAGGCUUUGAAGCGUGGACGCCAGUCUGCGUGGAGCCAACCUUGAAAUACCACCCUUUAAUGUUUGAUGUUCUAACGUUGGCCCCUGACCGGGGUUGCGGACAGUGUCUGGUGGGUAGUUUGACUGGGGCGGUCUCCUCCCAAAGCGUAACGGAGGAGCACGAAGGUUAGCUAAUCCUGGUCGGACAUCAGGAGGUUAGUGCAAUGGCAUAAGCUAGCUUGACUGCGAGCGUGACGGCGCGAGCAGGUGCGAAAGCAGGUCAUAGUGAUCCGGUGGUUCUGAAUGGAAGGGCCAUCGCUCAACGGAUAAAAGGUACUCCGGGGAUAACAGGCUGAUACCGCCCAAGAGUUCAUAUCGACGGCGGUGUUUGGCACCUCGAUGUCGGCUCAUCACAUCCUGGGGCUGAAGUAGGUCCCAAGGGUAUGGCUGUUCGCCAUUUAAAGUGGUACGCGAGCUGGGUUUAGAACGUCGUGAGACAGUUCGGUCCCUAUCUGCCGUGGGCGCUGGAGAAUUGAGGGGGGCUGCUCCUAGUACGAGAGGACCGGAGUGGACGCAUCACUGGUGUUCGGGUUGUCAUGCCAAUGGCACUGCCCGGUAGCUAAAUGCGGAAGAGAUAAGUGCUGAAAGCAUCUAAGCACGAAACUUGCCCCGAGAUGAGUUCUCCCUGAGACUAUAAGUCUCCUGAAGGAACGUUAAAGACGAUGACGUUGAUAGGCCGGGUGUGUAAGCGCAGCGAUGCGUUGAGCUAACCGGUACUAAUGAACCGUGAGGCUUAACCUUACAACGCCGAAG
Molecule: ribosomal RNA, 2923 nt
Filed under: Klebsiella pneumoniae
Lineage: Bacteria; Pseudomonadati; Pseudomonadota; Gammaproteobacteria; Enterobacterales; Enterobacteriaceae
Description: 23S ribosomal RNA
Rfam family: Bacterial large subunit ribosomal RNA
Source: RNAcentral